This 750-nucleotide ribosomal RNA is filed under the name uncultured bacterium. RNAcentral describes it as "bacterial SSU rRNA". It matches the Rfam family "Bacterial small subunit ribosomal RNA", at positions 43 to 800 of the family's 1533-position model. The record is from RNAcentral.
CAGGCCUAACACAUGCAAGUCGAACGAGGUAGCAAUACCUAGUGGCGAACGGGUGAGGAAUGCUUGGGAAUCUACCGUGUAGUGGGGGAUAACGUUUCGAAAGGAACGCUAAUACCGCAUACGUCCUACGGGAGAAAGGGGGGGAUCUUCGGACCUCUCGCUAUACGAUGAGCCCAAGUCGGAUUAGCUAGUUGGUGGGGUAAAGGCCUACCAAGGCGACGAUCCGCAGCUGGUCUGAGAGGAUGGUCAGCCACACUGGAACUGAGACACGGUCCAGACUCCUACGGGAGGCAGCAGUGGGGAAUAUUGGACAAUGGGGGCAACCCUGAUCCAGCCAUGCCGCGUGUGUGAAGAAGGCCUUCGGGUUGUAAAGCACUUUAAGCGGGGAGGAAGGGCGCCUGGAUAAUACCUGGGUGCAUUGACGUCACCCGCAGAAUAAGCACCGGCUAACUCUGUGCCAGCAGCCGCGGUAAUACAGAGGGUGCAAGCGUUAAUCGGAAUUACUGGGCGUAAAGCGCGCGUAGGCGGUUAUGCAAGUUGGAGGUGAAAUCCCCGGGCUCAACCUGGGCACUGCCUUCAAAACUGCAUGGCUAGAGUAUGGGAGAGGAAGGUAGAAUUCCAGGUGUAGCGGUGAAAUGCGUAGAGAUCUGGAGGAAUACCGAUGGCGAAGGCAGCCUUCUGGCCUAAUACUGACGCUGAGGUGCGAAAGCAUGGGGAGCAAACAGGAUUAGAUACCCUGGUAGUCCAUGC